AGUGAACGCUGGCGGUAGGCCUAACACAUGCAAGUCGAACGGCAGCACAGUAAGAGCUUGCUCUUACGGGUGGCGAGUGGCGGACGGGUGAGGAAUACAACGUAAUCUACUUUUUCGUGGGGGAUAACGUAGGGAAACUUACGCUAAUACCGCAUACGACCUACGGGUGAAAGCAGGGGAUCUUCGGACCUUGCGCGAAUGAAUGAGCCGAUGUCGGAUUAGCUAGUUGGCGGGGUAAAGGCCCACCAAGGCGGCGAUCCGUAGCUGGUCUGAGAGGAUGAUCAGCCACACUGGAACUGGGACACGGUCCAGACUCCUACGGGAGGCAGCAGUGGGGAAUAUUGGACAAUGGGCGCGAGCCUGAUCCAGCCAUACCGCGUGGGUGAAGAAGGCCUUCGGGUUGUAAAGCCCUUUUGUUGGGAAAGAAAGGCAGCAGGUUAAUACCCCGCUGUUCUGACGGUACCCAAAGAAUAAGCACCGGCUAACUUCGUG
RNAcentral lists this ribosomal RNA (492 nucleotides) under uncultured bacterium. RNAcentral's name for it is "partial 16S ribosomal RNA". It matches the Rfam family "Bacterial small subunit ribosomal RNA", at positions 29 to 507 of the family's 1533-position model. The record is from RNAcentral.